UUUUUUUUUUUUUUUUUUGAGUCUCGUUCUGUCACCCAGGCUGGAGUGUAGUGGCGCGAUCUCGGCUCACUGCAUCCUCCACCUCCUGGAUUUAAGCGAUUCUCCUGCCUCAGCCUCCUGACCUAUGGCGUUUUUUUCCAGCUGCACAGAAACCGGGAUAUUGCCCAGAGUUUGAUCUUACCUGCCCUUUCACCCUCUUACCUAUGUGCCGGCGCGAUAAGGGUUGCAAGGGAGUCAAGAAGUGUUGCUACUACAACUGUCGGCAUCAGUGUAUGGAGCCCUGGUGGACUCUGGAUUGAGGUGGAAAGCCCUUCUUUACCAGGACUGAGGAGACACAGGUGCUACAGGCUCAGACUGGGAUAACUGGUCUCCAUGUUGUCCAUGAUCGCUCAGGCCCAGGACUUCCUUUUAGCAAGAGUUAAAUGUUUCUUACUAUGAUAACAAGACAAAGAAAUAAAGCGUUGUAUAUUGAAAACUCCAUGAACAUCUGUAAGUCUGCUGGAUUGAUCUCUUGCUCUCUCUCUCUCUACUCAGCUGUGUUGCAUAAUCCCUCAGGAACUGUAAAAAGGACGGAGUUACUGUUUCACAUUUAGUUUCAUCAAUUCCUGCACUUGUGUUUUUCUGAUAUGUUUGUCUCUUUCAAUAUCUCCUGACACUCAGAUUCUCUGUUGGUCAGAUUCCAGGCGCAUUUUGGAGUUAAAUUCUCUGUGUUUGCAUCCUAUGAAUGGCAUGCCAAUUAAUUCUGUAAUGGAAGAGCAAGCCAUUUUUGCUUCAGUUUUUCUGGUACUACUGCUGGUGGCCUUUCCACGUGUUAGAGUAAUAUGAUCUGCAAUUGGAUUUGGAACUUAAGGUUGGAAAUUGAGCAAGGUGUACUUUAGUUCUAGGUACUUUCGUUCCUAAAAAUUGAGCCACCCUCUGUAGAGGACUGUGUGCUGGCAAACGAGAAGUUCCCGAUAAGCCCUGCUCUUGCAAACAAAGCAGGACAUUCCUUCUCUGCAAACAAGAAGGAUAAAGGAGCCAGCUGUAAGCAGCGGGCUCUGGGAACUGGUCAAUGUUUUACUGAUCUUGCGAGUCAAGGAAAGGUCAGAGAAGCAACACAUGUCCUGUGACUUGGCAACAUUCCACAAACGGCUGGAUAAAAAUAAAGCAGUGUGUGCCGUUCGGGGUGGCUGCCAUGUAUGUCUUGUCCUGUGUUGUCUUGUGUGUUCAUUCCUUUGUUUAGGAAACACGCGGACCCCAACAACUGGCGCAGCGAGCAGGGUCCGUGGCUCCAAGAGAGCAAGGAACCGGAGGGGGAGCACCCCGGGUGUGUAAGUAAAACAAAAAAAGGGGGACCCACGGGGAAAUUAUGGGGAAUUCCACCUCUCUGGCCUCAGAAUAUUUACGGUUGCUUCAAGGACUGUUGCUGUCUAUAGGAGUAGAAGUGAAAGAAAAAGACUUUGAAGCGAUUGUUUGCCCAUGUUGAACAACAUUGUUACUGGUUUCAGUAUCAGACUAAAGUGCAGCUGAAUCGGAGAGAAUGGUUACAGGUAGUAAAAGUUUUGCUUAGAGCUCACCAGUUAGGGGAUACUAUGCCUCUAAAUUUGUGGACCUUGUGUAACUCUAUCACUCAGGCAUUAGAGUUACUUGAGACUGAUUCAGAGUGUGGUGAUGUAGCCACAGGAGGAAAGGCAUCUGAGGAUUUGGGAAAAAAUAAAUCUAAAAUGGAGCCCAUUUAUGCCAGGGUAACAGAGGAUGGGGGGUUAGCAAAAGGGGGAGAAGAGGAAGAGCCAGCUCUUCCUUCUUCUAAGGGGAAUUCUGACAUGCAGCGUAUUAUGGGAAUACUUCAACAAAUAUUACAGAUACUUUCUUCUAAUUCACCUUUGGGAGCUUUCCCUGUUUCUUUUCCUUCUGCCUUGUUAGAAGAGGAUUUUCCAGUGCCUCCAACCCCCCAGCUUCCUUACCUUUGUCUGACAAAGUUUUCGCAGUGCCUUUCCCGCCACUGGGGGAGGGAGAAAAGGAAAAGAUAAGAAAAUUUAAGGAACUGGAUCUGUUUCCAAUUAUUCGUGCUUCUUUUGCUCCUAAUGCUCAGUUUCCAAAUGGUGGCAAUAAUGUCCAAUUUAAUGCCUUACAAUUUAAAUUUUUGAAAGAAAUGAAAGCUGCCAUUUCUAACUAUGGACCUCAAUCUCCUUUUAUCCUUGGUCUUCUUGAUGCUUUUUCAUCAGAAAAUUUGAUGAUUCCUAUAGACUGGGAGACCUUUGGGGAGGCUUUUCUUGAUCGUUCUCAGUGGUUAUAAUUGCACAGCUGGUGAUGGACAAGGCACAUGUACAGGCUAGAAAAAAUGCUACAUGUGAUCCCCAGGAGCCACUGAGGAACAACUCACAGGCAUGGGCCAGUAUGCUACUCUUAUACUCAGGCUGGCCUAGAUGAUGUCGCCCUUACUCAAAUCAAGACUUUGUUUUUAAGGCCUGAAAUAAGGUAGAGAUAGCAGGAAAAUCUUCCCUUUCCUUUGUGAAGAUUUUACAGGGCAGAAAUGAACCAUAUCCAGAUUUCGUAGCCCGUCUUCAGGAUGCUGUCUUAAAAACUGUGGGUGUUGGCCCUGCUUCAAAAAUUUUGUUACAAACAUUGUCUUUUGAAAAUGCUAAUGCUGAGUGUCAAAAAUUGUUGAGACCGUUAAAGGCCAGUGGGGCCAAUUUAGAUAAAUAUAUUAAAACUUGUGCUGGUUUUGGAGGGACUAUUUAUAAUGCUCAAUUAUUUGCUGGAGCUUUGUCUAAAGCCUUAAAAGGAAAUAACAAACAAGGUGUUUGCUUUCAGUGUGGUAAACCUGGACAUUUCAAAAAAGAAUGUCGUAAAAAAAAAUUGAACACUUUUAUCCCUCAAGACAGAAAGUUGCCUUCAGAGGUGUACAAACGUUGUGGUAAAGGUCGACAUUGGACAAAUAAAUGUCGUUCCAAAACUGAUAAAAGUGGAAAUUUACUGUCUCCUCUCCCGGGAAACGGGAGCCGGGGCCCAGAGGCUUAGGGCCCCAACAAUUACAAUACAAGUCUACUACAAUACCCAGUGAGCAAUGGCCUACAACAUCAAGGAAUUAAUUCAAGUCCUCCUUAAGGAUCCCACACCUUACCUACCCCAGUUUCUCAGCUUUAUGCGGCAACUAAGCAGAGCGCCGCUGCUGACUUAACUAUUACUCAGCCUUAUACCUUGUCUCCUAAUAGAGGAGUAUAUAAAUUAGCUAUUAGAGUGUGUGGCCCUUUGCCAAAAGGACAUGUAGGACUUUUGUUAGGUCAAAACAACAGUGCUAUACAGGGGUUAAUGGUAAUUCCAGGAAUCAUUGAUCCUGAUGUUACUAAUAAAAUUCUUAUUAUGGUACAAGUCUCACAAUUUAUACGCCUAGAGGCAGGGGAGUGAAUUGCACAAUUACUUUUAUUGCCUUUUUUCCGUUCCUAUCUAAAGAGGUAUCUCGACAGGGAGGGUUUAGUAACACAGAAAAAACUGUUUUUUGGGAAACUUUAGUUUCUAAUCAAAAGCCCUUAUGUUCAUUACACAUUAAUGGAAUAGUUUUUAAAGGGUUAAUUGAUACGGGGGUGGAUGUGUCUAUCAUUUGUUUAAAUUAGUGGCCUAUACAAUGGGAAAAAAGACAAGUUUCAAUUAUACUCACUGGCUUGGGUGCUGCUUCUGUGGUUUAUCAAAACGUAGAACCUUUAACCUGUGUCGGUCCUAAAGGUCAACAAGGUCAAGUGUUUUUUUAUAUUGUUCCUAUCAAUAUUAAUCUUUGGGGACAAGAUCUUUUACAACAAUUUGGUGCUUUUUUAAACAUUCCUCAUAUUUCCUCAGCUGCCAAAAAUAUGAUGUUCAAAAUGGGCUACAAUCCUUAAACUCAUAGCCACUGUUCACCAGCCUCAAGUUUUAUAAUUAAAGUGAAAAACUACCGCUCCUGUUUAGGUGAAACAGUGGCCAUUAUCUAAAAAAAUAAACAAAACUUAGGACUUUAAAAGAGUAAGUCAAAAAACAAUUAGC
This 3996-nucleotide long non-coding RNA is filed under the name Macaca mulatta (Rhesus monkey). RNAcentral's name for it is "lncRNA (ENSMMUG00000063049.1)". Lineage: Eukaryota; Metazoa; Chordata; Mammalia; Primates; Cercopithecidae. The record is from RNAcentral.